RNAcentral lists this ribosomal RNA (253 nucleotides) under uncultured bacterium. RNAcentral's name for it is "partial 16S ribosomal RNA". It matches the Rfam family "Bacterial small subunit ribosomal RNA", at positions 524 to 776 of the family's 1533-position model. The record is from RNAcentral.
UACGGGGGGGGCAAGCGUUGUUCGGAAUUACUGGGCGUAAAGGGCUCGUAGGUGGCCAACUAAGUCGGACGUGAAAUCCCUCAGCUUAACUGGGGAACUGCGUCCGAUACUGGAUGGCUUGAGUUUGGGAGAGGGAUGCGGAAUUCCAGGUGUAGCGGUGAAAUGCGUAGAUAUCUGGAGGAACACCGGUGGCGAAGGCGGCAUCCUGGGCCAACACUGACACUGAGGAGCGAAAGCCAGGGGAGCAAACGGG